UUUGUACCCCGAAUCCAUGUGGUGGUUUCUAACCAUUCCUAACUCCAGUUCCAGGGGAAUAUAAUUUCUUCUGAUCUCCAUGGGCACCAGCAUACAUGUACAUAUUCAUUCAGAAAUGAAGGCACACGAGGAGCCAAGAACACACAGCCAAGUUAGAGCAAAUGAAGAGCAAUUCAGGUAACUCAAGACACUACAGCUUUCCUACAUCCAGACAUGUUUUGUAUUCAACUGUUGAAGGAUAUCAUCAUGGAAAUAAAAUUUCAGCAGAGGGACCAUCAGUUUGACAA
This is a long non-coding RNA of Peromyscus eremicus (cactus mouse), 287 nucleotides long. RefSeq lists it as uncharacterized. NCBI's taxonomy places the organism in Eukaryota, Metazoa, Chordata, Mammalia, Rodentia, Cricetidae. The transcript has 2 exons. The record is from RefSeq and is a predicted model, not a curated record.